Molecule: ribosomal RNA, 1499 nt
Filed under: Piptocephalis microcephala
Lineage: Eukaryota; Fungi; Zoopagomycota; Zoopagomycetes; Zoopagales; Piptocephalidaceae
Description: partial large subunit ribosomal RNA
Rfam family: Eukaryotic large subunit ribosomal RNA
Source: RNAcentral
CGGCGAGUGAAGCGGGAAGAGCUCAAAUUUGAAAUCGCGUCCGGGUAACCGGGUCGCGAGUUGUAAUUUGAUGAGGCAAGCUUGGUGGGCGCCUGGGUCAAAAUCCUUUGGAAAAGGGUAUCAUAGAGGGUGACAAUCCCGUCUGUGACUCAGUCAGCGGUCUAUCGUGUAAGCUGCCUUCAAAGAGUCGGGUUGUUUGGGAAUGCAGCCCUAAGCUGGUGGUAAAUUCCAUCUAAAGCUAAAUAUUCGUGAGAGACCGAUAGCGAACAAGUACCGUGAGGGAAAGUUGAAAAGCACUCUGGAGAGAGAGUCAAACAGCACGUGAAAUUGUUAACAGGGAAACGUUGGGCCCCAGUACGCGCCUCGCGUAAAAUCAACCAUCUCUUCCCCGAGGGUAUCCGUGCCGGGUGGAUGAGUCCUUAAGAAGGGCCAUUGCCCGGUCGGUGCCCGAGGGGGGUGGUGCACUUUUGCGUGGGCGGGUCAACGUCAGUUAGAGCCACCGGAAAAUCCUGGGAGGAAUGUUGGCGAAGGCAACGGACCCACUUAUAGCCUCCCUUGAAAGCGGUGACCCUGACUGAGGAGUCGCAGCCUUAUCAUAUGGCGCGCGCGUCUCCCUUCCCCCUGUGGGUAAGGCAGCUUGCUGACUUACUUCGGUAAGGGAGGGGACUGCGUGUGUGCCUGGUGAGGCCACGGACGUUGGCGAAAUGGAUCUCAACGACCCGUCUUGAAACACGGACCAAGGAGUCUAACAUGUGUGCGAGUAUUUGGGUGCAAAACCCGAAUGCGCAAUGAAAGUGACCGCAGGGGAGAAGGGUGGCCCUCUCGGGGGUUACCCCGCAUCCUCGACCGAUCUGAUUGCCCUUGUGGCGACGGGUUUGAGUUUGAGCAUAUCUGUUAGGACCCGAAAGAUGGUGAACUAUGCCUGAGUAGGAUGAAGCCAGAGGAAACUCUGGUGGAGGUCCGUAGCGAUUCUGACGUGCAAAUCGAUCGUCGAACUUGGGUAUAGGGGCGAAAGACUAAUCGAACCAUCUAGUAGCUGGUUCCCGCCGAAGUUUCCCUCAGGAUAGCAGAAACGCGUUAACAGUAUUAUGAGGUAAAGCGAAUGAUUAGAGGCCUUGGGGGCGGAAUGCCCUUAACCUAUUCUCAAACUUUAAAUAUGUAAGAAGUCCUUGCCACUUAACUGGGCAUGGACGUUGUUGUAUGAGCGUUUCUAGUGGGCCAUUUUUGGUAAGCAGAACUGGCGAUGUGGGAUGAACCAGACGGGAGGUUAAGGUGCCGGAAUGUACGCUCAUGUAGACACCACAAAAGGUGUUGGUUCAUCUAGACAGCAGGACGGUGGCCAUGGAAGUCGGAAUCCGCUAAGGAGUGUGUAACAACUCACCUGCCGAAUGAACUAGCCCUGAAAAUGGAUGGCGCUCAAGCGUACUACCCAAACCUCCCCGCCACGGGUUAAUGCGAUGCCCUCGGCGAGUAGGCGGGCGUGGGGGUUGUGAAGAAGC